Long non-coding RNA from Scylla paramamosain (green mud crab), 746 nucleotides. RefSeq lists it as uncharacterized. NCBI's taxonomy places the organism in Eukaryota, Metazoa, Arthropoda, Malacostraca, Decapoda, Portunidae. The record is from RefSeq and is a predicted model, not a curated record. The transcript is spliced from 4 exons.
GACCGGAUGGUUAGAAGAUAAACCCCCACACGUCUGUGGUCCCCACCACCACGCCACUUCCCCCCUUCAGCGCAGGGCACGAAAAGCAGGGACACGAGAAGUGGCAUCCUCCUUGGGAGAAAAGUCGACGUAAAAAGGGCGUCACUAGUCGAGAAACCUCCGUUUCAGCAACAGCUUACAACAAGGGACCCUAUCAAAGAUGCAUGAGAGGAAACACUCCGGCUCCUACGAGGUGACCGAUCGGCCUCGCAUCAUUCAAGAGACAGGCUGGUGUCCCACUCGCAACUUUCCGGUGUGCAUGGCAACGCUGUGCUCCUGCAUCAUCUACUUCAUCGGUGCCAUCAUUACUGGCAUCGCAUACCGCGUCCACUCUGUCAAAGUUGAAUGCAAAUAUGCAGACACAUAUCAGCCCAUACAAGAGACUGUUUUCCUGUCACCAUUGGUGGUGGUGGGUCCCUGCCUUAUGUCUUCUGGGGGAACCCUCUUUCUGUACCUUGUGUUUCAGUGGUUUCUGUGCCGUCCUAUGGUCAAGUAACACACCUGCUUUUGGAGGAAAAAUUUUCAUGAUCUUUUAACUAUCUUAACAGAUACACAAUACAUCACUGUAUCUCAUCAACCCAUUAGCACACAUGGGGACAUUUUCAAAUAUUGGAGUUCAUUAUAUAGAUCACAGUUCUUAAUGUAUGAAAUGUUAGCAAAUCCUUACUAUAAUAUCAUGAGAAAUAAACAUACUGUACAAUUUUAUA